AUGGCCUCCGACUCGGAUCGCCUUCGUGCGCUCAAGGCCUUCGACCACACCAAGGCCGGCGUCAAAGGCCUCGUUGAUGCUGGCGUCACCACCAUCCCCUCCAUCUUCCACCACCCACUGCCCAUAGAGCGCACAGAUCAUGAUCAGCACUUCACCAUCCCGGUCAUCGACCUCGCGGCUGCCACGGGUGGUACUACUACCACACCAUCCAAGCGAGUUGAGCUGGUUGGAGCGGUGAAGGCGGCCGCAGAGACGGUGGGCUUCUUCCAGGUAGUGAACCAUGGCGUGCCGAAGGCGGCCAUGUCGGAGAUACUCAUGGCAGUGCAGGGAUUCCACGAGCAGCCGAGGGAGGCCAAGGCACCGUACUAUACCCGGGACCUUGGUCGGCCCGUGAGGUACUGGAGCAACUUCGACCUGUUCCAGUCACCGGCGGCCCAGUGGCGCGACACCUUGUACAUGCAGAUUACGCCGGAGCUGCCGCAACUGGAGGAGAUCCCACCCGCGUGCCGGCCCAUCGCGCUGGAGUAUGCGAGGCUGAUGCAGCAGCUAGGACGCACCCUGCUUGAGCUGCUGUCGGAGGCCCUGGGCCUCGAUCCUGGCCACCUGGAGGAGGACGCCGCAUGCCUGGAGAGGCUCGCCGGCCACUAUUACCCGCCCUGCCCAGAGCCGCACCUAACACUGGGCACCACGCGCCACUCCGACCCUUGCUUCCUCGCCGUGCUUCUCCAGGACGCUGUCGGCGGCCUCCAGGUGCUUCUCGAGAACAACAACAACAACAACAACAACAACAACAAGUUGUCUGCUGUGUGGGUAGAUGUGCCGGCGGUGGAAGGCGCGCUGGUGGUGAAUGUCGGCGACUUCCUGCAGAUCGUCUCCAACAACAGGUUCAAGAGUGUGGAGCACCGCGUGGUGGCCCAGAGCGCCGGGCCUCGCGUCUCCGUAGUCUGCUUCUUCCGAAGGCAGGACGCGGCCACGUCCACCAGAGUGCUAGGGCCAAUCGUCGCUGACGGCGAGGCGCGCUUCAGGAGCACGACGAUGGCGGAGCUGAUCCGGCACAACAGGGCCAAGGGCCUCGAUGGCACCUCUGCGCUGCAGCACUUGAGGCUCUGA
RNAcentral lists this ribosomal RNA (1110 nucleotides) under Triticum aestivum (bread wheat). RNAcentral's name for it is "partial small subunit ribosomal RNA". The record is from RNAcentral. Lineage: Eukaryota; Viridiplantae; Streptophyta; Magnoliopsida; Poales; Poaceae.